Molecule: ribosomal RNA, 221 nt
Filed under: uncultured bacterium
Lineage: Bacteria
Description: partial 16S ribosomal RNA
Rfam family: Bacterial small subunit ribosomal RNA
Source: RNAcentral
ACGCUCGACACCUACGGGAGGCAGCAGUGGGGAAUAUUGCACAAUGGGGGAAACCCUGAUGCAGCGACGCCGCGUGAGUGAAGAAGGUUUUCGGAUCGUAAAGCUCUGUUGUUGGUGAAGAAGGAUAGAGGUAGUAACUGGCCUUUAUUGACGGUAAUCAACCAGAAAGUCACGGCUAACUACGUGCCACAGCCGCGGUAAUCUGAGCGGGCUGGCAAGGC